RNAcentral lists this ribosomal RNA (462 nucleotides) under uncultured ammonia-oxidizing beta proteobacterium. RNAcentral's name for it is "bacterial SSU rRNA". It matches the Rfam family "Bacterial small subunit ribosomal RNA", at positions 202 to 647 of the family's 1533-position model. Lineage: Bacteria; Pseudomonadati; Pseudomonadota; Betaproteobacteria. The record is from RNAcentral.
AAGCAGGGGAUCGCAAGACCUUGCGCUUUUGGAGUGGCCGAUGCCUGAUUAGCUAGUUGGUGGGGUAAGGGCCUACCAAGGCAACGAUCAGUAGUUGGUCUGAGAGGACGACCAGCCACACUGGGACUGAGACACGGCCCAGACUCCUACGGGAGGCAGCAGUGGGGAAUUUUGGACAAUGGGCGAAAGCCUGAUCCAGCAAUGCCGCGUGAGUGAAGAAGGCCUUCGGGUUGUAAAGCUCUUUCAGUCGGGAAGAAAAGGUUGCGACUAAUAAUCGCGAUUCAUGACGGUACCGACAGAAGAAGCACCGGCUAACUACGUGCCAGCAGCCGCGGUAAUACGUAGGGUGCGAGCGUUAAUCGGAAUUACUGGGCGUAAAGGGUGCGCAGGCGGCUUUGUAAGUCAGAUGUGAAAUCCCCGGGCUUAACCUGGGAAUUGCGUUUGAAACUACAAGACUAGAGU